GAUGAACGCUGGCGGCGUGCUUAAUACAUGCAAGUCGAACGGAAAGGCCAGUGCUUGCACUGGUACUCGAGUGGCGAACGGGUGAGUAACACGUGGGUGAUCUGCCCUGCACUUCGGGAUAAGCCUGGGAAACUGGGUCUAAUACCGGAUAGGACAAUGGUUUGGAUGCCGUUGUGGAAAGUUUUUUCGGUGUGGGAUGAGCUCGCGGCCUAUCAGCUUGUUGGUGGGGUAUUGGCCUACUAAGGCGUCGACGGGUAGCCGGCCUGGGAGGGUGUACGGACACAUUUGGGUGGAGAUACGGCCCAGACUCCGAAGGGAGGCAGCAGGGGGGAAUAUUGCACAAUGGGGGCAAGCCUGAUGCAGCGACGCCGCGUGGGGGAUGACGGCCUUCGGGUUGUAAACUCCUUUCGCUAGGGACGAAGCGUAUUUGUGACGGUACCUGGAGAAGAAGCACCGGCUAACUACGUG
RNAcentral lists this ribosomal RNA (468 nucleotides) under uncultured bacterium. RNAcentral's name for it is "partial 16S ribosomal RNA". It matches the Rfam family "Bacterial small subunit ribosomal RNA", at positions 28 to 507 of the family's 1533-position model. The record is from RNAcentral.